UUCCUUUCUACUUUCUUUCUGCAAUGCUAGAAGAAAUGCCUGGCAAUUGAUUGCAACUGAUGCGCAAUAAUACGUGAAUCAAUGGUAAAAUAAUUAACAUAGAACAUUAGUGUUCUAGUUCAACUUAAUGGUGGUGUGGCUUGGACAAGUCAUUUCAAGACAAUCCUUAGUGUGUGUGUGUGUGUGUGAGUGUGUGUGUAUGUGUGUGUGUGGUAAACGAGAUAGUCUCCACAGUGUACCAGACACAUGGCAGGCCCUUAAUGCUUCAUUUCAUUAUCACUGUUAUUUUACUCAUGAUGCAAUGGAAUAAUGGAAAGAGUUAAUUUAAUCUUCAGUAGAAAUAUCCAAACAUAACUGCCGUUUCUCAAUUUACUCUGAACUGCAGCCUCAAUGCUCACUCCACAUGGUGCCAUAUCUUCUAAGUUAGCCUGUUGUUUGUGUGAAGGUGGGGUGGGAUCAAAACAUCAAUGUUUUCCCAGGCAUGGUGGCACAUGCCUAUGAUCCCAGCACUCGGGAGGCUGAGGUAGGAGGAUUGACAAGAGUUUGAGGCCAGCCUGGGCUACAUAGUGAGUUCAGGACCAGUCUGAAUUACAAAGGAAGACCCUGCCUCAAAAAACCAAGAAAAAAAAAAUCAAUGUUUUGACAGUCACCGAUUUUCCCAUGUAUUAGAUUUUCUGCUCAGGAUUCAGCAGCUGGUGUUGUGGUUUUAAUUUUGUAAUUAUUCAUGAUUUCAUAACAAUCACUGACUCUGUGCCAACUCAGAAAAACUCAAUUCAGCAUUAUAUUGUAAAAGUAGUUAUCUUAAAACUGGUCAAAAUUUGAGAUUGAACAGCAAUAAGAAGAAAUAUGCUUUCCUAUUUUUACUACCUUAUUGUCAAUGGGUAUGGUAAAAAAAUGUAAUAAAUUUAAAAAUUUUUCGCUGUUUAUCUGAGAACCAGCAGAUUGUAGAAAUCUCUUCAUCUUUUAUUCUGGUUACCCUUGUCUACACCUGCCGUGUGCAGGAGACUGGCGUAUUUCAAUAUUUUCCAUCUGAAUUGUGAAUGAGUUGAUCAGAUGUCUCCGCCCUCCUUUCCUAAUCAAAUAUAUUGAUUUCCUACCAAGUUCUAGAAACUAUACUCAAGUGUGAACUUUCAAAUACAAAAGGAUAUAACCCAGGAGGUCAGGAGACCACACAGUAGUAAGAGGACAUGCAUGGAUGUGUUCGUUGACCAAUGAAAAUUCACAGAACAGUGUCCUCUCUGGAAGCACAGCUGCUGCUGUGAGCUCAAGGAGCAGUGGAGAGCCCAGGUUAGCUGGAUCAAGAGAGAGCAAGGCUCAAAACACUGGCUCAAAAGCUGCCAGAGAGGUACUGAGAAGCCAGCAUUAAGGGCCUUGUGAUCAAUGCCUGAGGACUUGGGCAUCAACUCUGAGCACCAGGAAGCUAAUGGUGGAUCAUGAGCAGAGUCCUGGUCCAACUCCUAUUUGGAGGGGACUGCACUGUUAAGCAGAUUUCCAACCACAUCAAAAUACAACAACUGCUAGGUUACUUUUGUAGUGGACUAAUGAGCAACAUGUAACGCCCAGCUGAACUAAAUCAGAGUGGUCUGGGCAUGGAGGAUCCACCUGAGGAUUGUUGUCAGUAGCCAUAAAAAGAAAACUGGAGGGGAAGAUCGUGGCCUGUUGAUUUUUCUAGGAGAAGCUUGCUGUGGAUGGUUUUCCUGAUGCGAACUAGGCUGUUCUCGUCAGAGGAGGAACUCAGGUUCUCGCUGUCGCUGGGAAUGGCUGCUGUUUUCAUCAGAGCAGCUCUGAUCUUCACCGUGAGCAUCACUUCCUGGCCCCAGUGUGGAUCCCUCAGCCUGGUGGCACAAAUCCUUCAUCUCACCAGCAUAGGUUUUCUGGCUCCCACCACUGGCCUUUGGGCCUUCCGGGUGCAGAUUCUCAAUAUGGACAAGCAUGAGACAUUGCCAUGGGCUCUAGGCCACUAGCUGGACUCAUGGAGGACAUUGCCUUGGACUCUAAGCCUUUAGCUGGACUUAUGUGGGAAAUUGCUGGAUCCAGGCCGUUGGCUUGAUUCUUUUGGCCUCUAGUGUGUGGUUAAUGUCUUGCAUUCCUUUGCAUUUCACUUUUUGGGUAAUUACCAUCAA
This is a long non-coding RNA of Heterocephalus glaber (naked mole-rat), 2123 nucleotides long. The record is from Ensembl. NCBI's taxonomy places the organism in Eukaryota, Metazoa, Chordata, Mammalia, Rodentia, Bathyergidae.